Molecule: long non-coding RNA, 938 nt
Organism: Leguminivora glycinivorella
Lineage: Eukaryota; Metazoa; Arthropoda; Insecta; Lepidoptera; Tortricidae
Exons: 5
Source: RefSeq, a predicted model, not a curated record
AAACAGCCCAUGCAAAGGAUGUCUUAUCGGGCUAUGCCUCAAUUGAUAAAGUGAACUAAUUGCCUACUUCAAAAGCAGUUUUGCAUGAAAGGUAAGCUUUUGUUUUAUUAUUUGAUGUGUUUUCAAACUAGUCGUCGUUUUCGAAACCCAGCAGAACAUACUUGCGAACUACAACGACUAGACCGAAUAUAUAUGGUGAAAUGUUGCUUAUUUCAUUGUUCUGUCGUCAGAUAAGUUAUUGAUAGUAAAUUUCCCACAUUACUUUCUGACUUUCACAUUCCCUAAGAGGAUCUAAAUGUACGUGAAAUAGGCCUAACUAACAAAAUAUAUUUGUUACUUUCAAUGAGGUUUACAUGGUUGUUCGAUUUUUCAGUUUCAACAUCUAAUUGGAAUUUCUCUGGAAAGUUUACAAUGUCCGAUAUUUCUACACAUCUGCCACAAAUUUAUGGAAAUCAAUAUUUAUAGAAACUGAACAUACCUUGGUUAAACGUAUAUGAAAUGGGUAACCAUCCUCGAAGAACAUCAACCAGCUGUCGGCAAUGUGCAGGUGGACUGAGGAAUUUUCCGGUGUGUCUUUUUAUGGACUGUACUCCGUCUUAGCACAAUCCUUAAUUUUACUCGGGAGUCACCGCUUCAGCCCGGUCCUUCUUUCAUAUAUCUACUGUCUUCAUAUAGAUGAAAGUGUACUAAGGACUCACUAAUCUGCACUACUAGUAACAAAGUAAUCCGACAAUCAGACUGGACCCGGUCAUGUUAGAAUCCAGAGGAAGACAAAAAUAUAAUUGAUUCUGUACUGAUGCAUGACUUCGCUCGGAACGCGGCAAGAAUUAACAAUGGAAGAAAAUACUACAGACGUGUUUAUUAACGAUAAAGUUAUUUUUGUUUUUAUGAAAUAGCGAUUGAAUAAAAAUAUUAGGUAUAUGAGUUUUAUUUAGAGA